This 248-nucleotide ribosomal RNA is filed under the name uncultured bacterium. Its description in RNAcentral is "partial 16S ribosomal RNA". It matches the Rfam family "Bacterial small subunit ribosomal RNA", at positions 796 to 1041 of the family's 1533-position model. The record is from RNAcentral.
UACGCCCUAAACGAUGAUCGCUAGUUUUUCGGAGUAUCGACCCUCUGAGAGACGAAGCUAACGCGUUAAGCGAUCCGCCUGGGUAGUACGGCCGCAAGGCUAAAACUCAAAGGAAUAGACGGGGACUUGCACAAGCAGAGGAUUAUGUGGUUUAAUUCGAUGAUAAACGAAAAACCUUACCAAGAUUGGAAAUUUAACUGAAUACUCGGAGAAACUCGAGUAGUCCGCAAGGACAGUUAGACAGGUGA